UACGUAGGGUGCGAGCGUUGUCCGGAAUUAUUGGGCGUCAAGGGCUCGUAGGCGGUUUGUCGCGUCGGGAGUGAAAACCUUGGGCUUAACUCAGGGCUUGCUUUCGAUACGGGCAGACUAGAGGUAUGCAGGGGAGAACGGAAUUCCUGGUGUAGCGGUGAAAUGCGCAGAUAUCAGGAGGAACACCGGUGGCGAAGGCGGUUCUCUGGGCAUGAUCUGACGCUGAGGAGCGAAAGUGUGGGGAGCGAACAGG
RNAcentral lists this ribosomal RNA (253 nucleotides) under uncultured bacterium. RNAcentral describes it as "partial 16S ribosomal RNA". It matches the Rfam family "Bacterial small subunit ribosomal RNA", at positions 524 to 776 of the family's 1533-position model. The record is from RNAcentral.